UACGUAGGUGGCAAGCGUUGUCCGGAUUUACUGGGCGUAAAGAGCGCGCAGGCGGCUGGGCAAGUCCGAUGUGAAAGCUUCCGGCUUAACUGGAAAAUUGCAUCGGAAACUGCUCGGCUUGAAGGUGGGAGAGGGUAGCGGAAUUCCCGGUGUAGUGGUGAAAUGCGCAGAUAUCAGGAAGAACACCAAUGGCGAAGGCAGCUUUCUGGGACGGUACUGACGCUGAGACGCGAAAGCGUGGGGAGCGAACAGG
RNAcentral lists this ribosomal RNA (253 nucleotides) under uncultured bacterium. Its description in RNAcentral is "partial 16S ribosomal RNA". It matches the Rfam family "Bacterial small subunit ribosomal RNA", at positions 524 to 776 of the family's 1533-position model. The record is from RNAcentral.